UGAUUUACAUUUGAGUGAGUGGCGAACUGGUGAGUAACACGUGGGAAACCUGCCCAGAAGCGGGGGAUAACACCUGGAAACAGAUGCUAAUACCGCAUAACAACUUGGACCGCAUGGUCCGAGCUUGAAAGAUGGCUUCGGCUAUCACUUUUGGAUGGUCCCGCGGCGUAUUAGCUAGAUGGUGGGGUAACGGCUCACCAUGGCAAUGAUACGUAGCCGACCUGAGAGGGUAAUCGGCCACAUUGGGACUGAGACACGGCCCAAACUCCUACGGGAGGCAGCAGUAGGGAAUCUUCCACAAUGGACGAAAGUCUGAUGGAGCAACGCCGCGUGAGUGAAGAAGGGUUUCGGCUCGUAAAACUCUGUUGUUAAAGAAGAACAUAUCUGAGAGUAACUGUUCAGGUAUUGACGGUAUUUAACCAGAAAGCCACGGCUAACUACGUGCCAGCAGCCGCGGUAAUACGUAGGUGGCAAGCGUUGUCCGGAUUUAUUGGGCGUAAAGCGAGCGCAGGCGGUUUUUUAAGUCUGAUGUGAAAGCCUUCGGCUCAACCGAAGAAGUGCAUCGGAAACUGGGAAACUUGAGUGCAGAAGAGGACAGUGGAACUCCAUGUGUAGCGGUGAAAUGCGUAGAUAUAUGGAAGAACACCAGUGGCGAAGGCGGCUGUCUGGUCUGUAACUGACGCUGAGGCUCGAAAGUAUGGGUAGCAAACAGGAUUAGAUACCCUGGUAGUCCAUACCGUAAACGAUGAAUGCUAAGUGUUGGAGGGUUUCCGCCCUUCAGUGCUGCAGCUAACGCAUUAAGCAUUCCGCCUGGGGAGUACGGCCGCAAGGCUGAAACUCAAAGGAAUUGACGGGGGCCCGCACAAGCGGUGGAGCAUGUGGUUUAAUUCGAAGCUACGCGAAGAACCUUACCAGGUCUUGACAUACUAUGCAAAUCUAAGAGAUUAGACGUUCCCUUCGGGGACAUGGAUACAGGUGGUGCAUGGUUGUCGUCAGCUCGUGUCGUGAGAUGUUGGGUUAAGUCCCGCAACGAGCGCAACCCUUAUUAUCAGUUGCCAGCAUUAAGUUGGGCACUCUGGUGAGACUGCCGGUGACAAACCGGAGGAAGGUGGGGAUGACGUCAAAUCAUCAUGCCCCUUAUGACCUGGGCUACACACGUGCUACAAUGGAUGGUACAACGAGUUGCGAACUCGCGAGAGUAAGCUAAUCUCUUAAAGCCAUUCUCAGUUCGGAUUGUAGGCUGCAACUCGCCUACAUGAAGUCGGAAUCGCUAGUAAUCGCGGAUCAGCAUGCCGCGGUGAAUACGUUCCCGGGCCUUGUACACACCGCCCGUCACACCAUGAGAGUUUGUAACACCCAAAGUCGGUGGGGU
RNAcentral lists this ribosomal RNA (1372 nucleotides) under Lactiplantibacillus plantarum. RNAcentral's name for it is "bacterial SSU rRNA". It matches the Rfam family "Bacterial small subunit ribosomal RNA", at positions 76 to 1436 of the family's 1533-position model. Lineage: Bacteria; Bacillati; Bacillota; Bacilli; Lactobacillales; Lactobacillaceae. The record is from RNAcentral.